CCUACGGGAGGCAGCAGUGGGGAAUAUUGGGCAAUGGGCGAAAGCCUGACCCAGCGACGCCGCGUGAGGGAAGAAGGUCUUCGGAUUGUAAACCUCUGUCCUCAGGGACGAAAAAAAUGACGGUACCUGAGGAGGAAGCCCCGGCUAACUACGUGCCAGCAGCCGCGGUAAU
RNAcentral lists this ribosomal RNA (172 nucleotides) under uncultured Clostridium sp. Its description in RNAcentral is "partial 16S ribosomal RNA". It matches the Rfam family "Bacterial small subunit ribosomal RNA", at positions 338 to 524 of the family's 1533-position model. Lineage: Bacteria; Bacillati; Bacillota; Clostridia; Eubacteriales; Clostridiaceae. The record is from RNAcentral.